This 1169-nucleotide long non-coding RNA is filed under the name Homo sapiens (human). RNAcentral describes it as "HSALNT0350129". Lineage: Eukaryota; Metazoa; Chordata; Mammalia; Primates; Hominidae. The record is from RNAcentral.
GGGGACUUCCUGUGUCCUUGUGGAGGGGAGAAAGUUGGGGGGAUGCUGCAAACAGCAUUGUUUCUUUUUUUGCUGUACGUACAGAUAUCUACCUUGGUUCUUUCCCAAACUCCUUUGCUCUCCUUCAACUCUGAGCCAAGGAUUUAAAUUAUCAAAUCCAGCUUUUAAUCUGUGUCUUUAGGGAAGUCUUAAAGGCAUUCUAAGACUCAGCUUCUUCACAUGAAAAAUGGGGUUGUAAUAAUGCCAGUUUCAUGCAGCUUUCAUAAGGAUCAAACGGUACACGGGAAAAUGCUUUGAAAACUGAAAAGUGCUGCACAUAUUCAUGUAUUGGUAUGUCACGCCAAAGGUGAGGCUUAUAAUAAGUGUUAAGAUAAUCCAUAUUUUAUGAAUGAGAUGUGUUCAGUAGUCUACUGGCCAUAGGGCACUAAUUCACAAAACUGAUAAUCUGUUGAAUACUUGAGUAUUAUUAUGGCUAUGUCAAUUUUUGAAAACAGGGCAAAGGUAAAAUAUUUGUUUGAAAUGAUGGCUAAGGAAAUGAUGGUUAAAGAAAACAGAACUUUCACAUCUGGCACGAUAGCCUUUCUAAGCCAGGAAAAUCCUUGGCAACAGCCUCUUCCAAUAAAUCAGCAUGUCAGAAGAAACAAUGACCCUUCCCUCUAGGAGAGGAACAAAACCACUCAACUUUCCAAUGUAGAAUUGGAACAGAAGUCUCCAAAACAACUUCGAUACAUCUUAUUCCCUUCCCAUUCACUGAAGGCAAGUACAAGGGGUGAUGGAAUUCCUUCAACUCAGUCUGUCAAGAGGCUCACCAAUCCAGAACGACCCUCAGAAACCAAGAUAAGAGAGUGAAUUAAUUGUCCAUUGUAAAUGUCGAUAUCCUUCGGCCAAGCUACCAACCGUUAUUUUCUAAUAUCUCAGAGAUGAAAGGCAACCUGUAUGUCAUCUUACCAUACUGCCUUCUUUAACCCAGGAGGAAAUAUGGACCUAAGAGAUGAGGCACCUUGGUCCCAGGGCAUCCGUUGAAAAUUUUUAUGUGCUUUUUUCGUAAUACAACAUGGCCUCUCUAAUUAUUAACUCUGGACAAGCAUUCUAUUAUCCAAUUGAUUUAUUGAGUGCUUACUAUGUGCUUAGCUAUGUUUUUGGGACAAAUUCUGGGAAAAAAAUGAAUU